GGAAAUACUUGAGGUUAUUACAUACUAGAUUAGCUUCUAAUGUGAACCAUUUUUCUUUUAACAGUGAUAAAUUAUUAUUUCCGAAGCUAACUGUUCCCUUGGUCGUGAUACACACUCGAUUAACAAACAUACUGUUGUAUUUUUUCCAGUUUUGUUUGGCUAUGCCACCACAGUCAUCCCCAGGGUCUAUACAUACUAUGUUUCAACUGUAUUAUUUGCCAUUUUUGGCAUUAGAAUGCUUCGGGAAGGCUUAAAGAUGAGCCCUGAUGAGGGUCAAGAGGAACUGGAAGAAGUUCAAGCUGAAUUAAAGAAGAAAGAUGAAGAAUUUCAACGAACCAAACUUUUAAAUGGACCGGGAGAUGUUGAAACGGAAAACACUGGACACACUGAAGUGGGCCACAGCAUUCCUUCAUAUGCAAGACUGUUUUACAUCUGAUAAUUCGGCUGCUCUCUAAAAUUGGCCUUCUCCCAGUUCCUGCUACCUGCAGGACCCCUAUGGUGUAGCCGUGGGUGGAACUGUGGGGCACUGCCUGUGCACGGGAUUGGCAGUAAUUGGAGGAAGAAUGAUAGCACAGAAAAUCUCUGUCAGAACUGUGACAAUCAUAGGAGGCAUCGUUUUUUUGGCGUUUGCAUUUUCUGCACUAUUUAUAAGCCCUGAUUCUGGUUUUUAACAAGCUGUUUGUUCAUCUAUAUUUAGUUUAAAAUAGGUAGUAUUAUCUUUCUGUACAUAGUGUACAUUACAACUAAAAGUGAUGG
This 756-nucleotide small RNA is filed under the name Pan troglodytes (chimpanzee). RNAcentral describes it as "processed transcript". The record is from RNAcentral. Lineage: Eukaryota; Metazoa; Chordata; Mammalia; Primates; Hominidae.